UGAGAGCAGCGCAAGAACCACCAGCUGUCUGUCCCUCCCUCUUCCCUCUGCAGUUCCCCAUGCUGGGAGCUCUUGUGGUUCCAGGACAGCAGCUGAUGGACCCCAAGGACUGGCCGCUUUUUGGGGGAAAAUCACUGUUCUUGCCCUGUGGAAGUUCUAGAAAGAAGACAAUCUAUGCCAGCUCGGAUGAUUAAUUUUAUGUAUCAAAUUGCCUGGCCUUUGGUGUAUGGUAGUUUGGUCUAACACCAGUUUACAUGUUGCUCUGAAGAUCUUGUCCAGAUGUGAUUAACAUCUAUAAUCAGUUCACUCUAACUGAGAUGACCCUCAAGGAUGUGGGUGAGCUCCAUCCAAUCAGUGGAAGGCCUGAAGUGCAAAGAUGGAGGUUUCCCAAAGAAGAAGAAAUUCUGUCUGAAGACUGCAAUAUGGAAACUUGAGUUUCCAGCCUGCUGCUCUGUGGAAUUUGGACUCAAGAUGGCAAUAUCAACUCUUCCCUAAAUUUCCAGAUUCUGAUGCCUGCCCUAUGGAUUGCAGACUUGCCAACCUCCACAAACAUGGCAAUUAUGUUGUUGAUUACUCCACUGUGAGCUGAGCAGUGACGGAAGGUCAAGUUCCCAAAGUCAUGUUCGGAUUCAUUCCUUGGUUGUGACUGGAAGCCCAGAGUGAACUGAGGAAAGUGCGGAACUGUUUGCAGAACCCCACGUGGCUCCAGCUGCAGCCAGCCACCCUCAGUGUGUCAGACCAUGGGGUUGAAUGAAGAGAACCACAUCCAGAAUGGGACAAGCUACAGGUUCUGGAACAGAAGGG
RNAcentral lists this long non-coding RNA (804 nucleotides) under Homo sapiens (human). RNAcentral describes it as "HSALNT0083825". Lineage: Eukaryota; Metazoa; Chordata; Mammalia; Primates; Hominidae. The record is from RNAcentral.